UACGUAGGGUGCGAGCGUUAAUCGGAAUUACUGGGCGUAAAGCGUGCGCAGGCGGUUUUGUAAGUCAGAUGUGAAAUCCCCGGGCUCAACCUGGGAACUGCGUUUGAAACUACAAGGCUAGAGUGUAGCAGAGGGGGGGGUAGAAUUCCACGUGUAGCAGUGAAAUGCGUAGAGAUGUGGAGGAAUACCAAUGGCGAAGGCAGCCCCCUGGGUUAACACUGACGCUCAUGCACGAAAGCGUGGGGAGCAAACAGG
This 255-nucleotide ribosomal RNA is filed under the name uncultured bacterium. RNAcentral's name for it is "partial 16S ribosomal RNA". It matches the Rfam family "Bacterial small subunit ribosomal RNA", at positions 524 to 776 of the family's 1533-position model. The record is from RNAcentral.